Molecule: ribosomal RNA, 468 nt
Filed under: Fermentozyma vespimorsuum
Lineage: Eukaryota; Fungi; Ascomycota; Pichiomycetes; Serinales; Debaryomycetaceae
Description: eukaryotic LSU rRNA
Rfam family: 5.8S ribosomal RNA (bases 155-308)
Source: RNAcentral
UAGAGGAAGUAAAAGUCGUAACAAGGUUUCCGUAGGUGAACCUGCGGAAGGAUCAUUAAAGUUUGCUUAAUUGCAUCACACACAUGUUUUUCUAGAGACACUUGCUUGCAAGAACACAAUUAAUUUAGUGAGUCAACAACCAAAAAAAUAUCAAAACUUUCAACAACGGAUCUCUUGGUUCUCGCAUCGAUGAAGAACGCAGCGAAAUGCGAUACGUAAUAUGAAUUGCAGAUUUUCGUGAAUCAUCGAAUCUUUGAACGCACAUUGCGCCCUGUGGUAUUCCACAGGGCAUGCCUGUUUGAGCGUCAUUUCUCCCUCAAACCUCUGGUUUGGCGUUGAGUGAUACUCGGUUUGCUUGAAAAGGAUGACACGCACAACUACUAGGUUUUACCAACUCGUUGUGGCGCGAUCUACAAGUUUGACCUCAAAUCAGGUAGGACUACCCGCUGAACUUAAGCAUAUCAAUAA